AUCAGAAACAUCUGCUCGAACUUCUCUCCUCUCCCACGAUGAACCCUACAAGCCCAAUCCUCUCAUCCCUUCAUUCAAAUCAGGAGCAAAUCGAUCAAAAAUCGGUCACUUGGGAGUAGUAGAUGCCAAUGAAAGAGGUGCAGAUUUCAACGAGUAGUGCAGUAAGGCAAGCAGCGGCUUGCGGCGCGCGGCUCCGGCAGGUGUCGGCGUCGACUGCCGCGCUUGCGGCUGCUUGGCGACGGCUACAGCAGGCUGCAUCAGGCUGCGGAGGGUGUCGGCGUUGAGUGCGGUGGGCUGCGGCGUCGGCUGCUUCAGGCGGUGUGGUGGCUACGAUGGGCAGUAGCAGAAAGAAACGUAUAUACUCUAUACUGAAAUGGUUGUGACCUGCUAUCUCUGUCUAUCGUGUAGGCAUUUAGAUGUAGAUUUUCAUCUGUUCCUUGUUGAUCUACUAGAAUAUUUCUCCUUUUUUUUUUGCUUAUCCUGUAGGAAUGGCCGAGGUUCUUGACAGCCAUUGUUAGGGUUAAGUCUUAUUUCACCACAUCGUUUUUUUCUUUUUGUCAAAGGGCAUAUGUUAAAGGAAACAAUGUCAAAAUUUCUAUCGAAAUGAUGCUAGUUGACU
RNAcentral lists this small RNA (619 nucleotides) under Oryza sativa Japonica Group (Japanese rice). Its description in RNAcentral is "sRNA Os01g0965201". The record is from RNAcentral. Lineage: Eukaryota; Viridiplantae; Streptophyta; Magnoliopsida; Poales; Poaceae.